GUGAGUAUGCGUUAAUGGUAAACGGUCUGUCUUCCAAACAGAUAAUAUGGGUUCGAAUCCCAUUACUCACA
Molecule: transfer RNA, 71 nt
Filed under: Rickettsiales bacterium
Lineage: Bacteria; Pseudomonadati; Pseudomonadota; Alphaproteobacteria; Rickettsiales
Description: tRNA-Gly
Rfam family: tRNA
About the family: Transfer RNA (tRNA) molecules are approximately 80 nucleotides in length. Their secondary structure includes four short double-helical elements and three loops (D, anti-codon, and T loops).
Source: RNAcentral